UACAGAGGGGGCAAGCGUUAUUCGGAAUUAUUGGGCGUAAAGGGCGCGUAGGCGGCUUUGCAAGUGGCGGGUGAAAUCCCUCGGCUUAACCGAGGAACUGCCUGCCAGACUGUGAGGCUUGAGACCGGGAGAGGUGAGUGGAAUUCCCAGUGUAGCGGUGAAAUUCGUAGAUAUUCGCAAGAACACCAGUGGCGAAGGCGGCUCACUGGUCCGGUACUGACGCUGAGGUGCGAAAGCGUGGGGAGCAAACAGG
This 253-nucleotide ribosomal RNA is filed under the name uncultured bacterium. RNAcentral describes it as "partial 16S ribosomal RNA". It matches the Rfam family "Bacterial small subunit ribosomal RNA", at positions 524 to 776 of the family's 1533-position model. The record is from RNAcentral.